This 274-nucleotide ribosomal RNA is filed under the name uncultured bacterium. RNAcentral's name for it is "partial 16S ribosomal RNA". It matches the Rfam family "Bacterial small subunit ribosomal RNA", at positions 84 to 354 of the family's 1533-position model. The record is from RNAcentral.
CCGGACGGCGACCGGCGCACGGGUGAGUAACACGUAUGCGACCUGCCCGUAGCAGGGGGAUAAGCGGAAGAAAUUCCGUCUAAUACCGCGUAAUAUCUUUCGGGGACAUUCCUGAGGGAUUAAAGGAAGCGAUUCCGGCUACGGAUGGGCAUGCGGCGCAUUAGCUAGUCGGCGGGGUAACGGCCCACCGAGGCGACGAUGCGUAGGGGUUCUGAGAGGAAGGUCCCCCACACUGGUACUGAGACACGGACCAGACUCCUACGGGAGGCAGCAG